UGAGCAGUGGUUUAAGCUUGAGCAUCUCAGCCAAGAACAUCAAAAGAGGCAACAGGGAAAAGAAAAAGAUAUACUAAAAGCAUGACUGUAAGAGGACUGCAGCAAUAUAAGUAGUCCUAACUAUGGAAUUCAUUUUAAAAGUUCAGCCUCGAAAAUUUUCCUGAUAGCCAAAGUAAUCUCACGUAAAUCAGUGAUUCAUGAAGAUUUGGAAACGAAGGCAAGAAUUUGAGAAGAGAGAGCUUCCGCAUCAUCCUAUAACAGUUAAACGCCUUCCUUUGUAGUGGACAUGGCUAUGCUCAUGAUCAGACUUGCAUUUAAGCCGUCUUCAUUUUGGGCUUCAAUCAAACACUAAAUGCUUAUUAAAUUCUCAGGCUGCAAAAUUGAAUUGAUGACUUACGUCGUCAACCACCUAGGCUUGACUUGUUACUUUUUUCCUGACUAUUCUUUUUCUCCGAGCCUUAGGCACUGGUGUUUCCCCUUCAGAAGCUAUGCCAGUCUGACCCUGUUUGAUCCCAAGAAGCCCAAGCCCUGAAACUAUGGCAUUCUUGGACAAGAACCAUUUUGAAGAAGGCUGAUCAAGACCCUCAGUGGGUCUACUAUAAGCCUUCAAGACAUCAUCUGAAUGGGCCAGUGGAUCCACCUCCACACCGAGCCACGCUAGUCUUGAUGCCUCUCCUACUCGAACAUUCAAGACCCUCAGGGCAGUGCUGAAGAAGAGAGCCACUCCAAUAACAUCAAAGUGGUUAACUACAGCUCUGUCAAAUCCACACAAUAGCUGAUAACGCAGGUUUGCAUAAAGACCAAGGAAGGCACCAUAACCAAGGGCAUUACUGCUCACAGAUGGUACUGUCACCGACAACCUUCCCUUCUUUCUAGUGACAACAAGAUUCGAUACAGCCCCUUGGAAAGCCCCUGUAGUGAGACCAACCAAACAGAGCUCUGCAGCCUUAUAGAAAAAGGACUGAAUUCUCUUUUGCAAGUCGAAUUCUCUUAGUGGAUAACUCUUUUCAAAGACAUUGUUUGGAAGCUUCUGUAAUGUGUUUUGCAAAUCAAACUGGAAUGUGUUCCCAUAUGAACGACAAGGAGCAAGCGACCAAACAACAAUAGCAUUGCAAGCCGUUACAGUAAGCACAUUAAGAAGGGCAAGAUCCCACUCCUGCUUUAUCCUCUCCUUACGGUUUUUGAUCUCCCACCAAACUGAGCAACCAAUUGUACUGGCUUGCUCUAGAAGCAGUUUGUAUAAAAAUACCGGAUCUGCAAUCAUCCUUCCAAUGAAUGCCCUUGAUAAUCCUUGAGGAAGUGACCGCGAAAUAAAUCUAGCUGUUGUAGGUCUGGCAUUAAUGGCAAGAAAUUUCACCAUUUGAGCAGAGCUAACUAAACCCAUUUCAUAGGCUUGUCGAAGCCCAGCUGGUAAAUCCAUCAUUGUCUUCUGCCACUCAUUUAGCACCGCAUCAACAAAUUUCCGAUCAAACAACUCUUGUAGUAUCAUUCUUCUCCUAAAU
RNAcentral lists this unclassified non-coding RNA (1502 nucleotides) under Hevea brasiliensis (rubber tree). The record is from RNAcentral. Lineage: Eukaryota; Viridiplantae; Streptophyta; Magnoliopsida; Malpighiales; Euphorbiaceae.